This 22-nucleotide microRNA is filed under the name Aedes aegypti (yellow fever mosquito). RNAcentral describes it as "aae-miR-2941". Lineage: Eukaryota; Metazoa; Arthropoda; Insecta; Diptera; Culicidae. The record is from miRBase by way of RNAcentral. RNAcentral also lists the same sequence under 1 other name.
UAGUACGGCUAGAACUCCACGG